AUGAAGAACGUAGCGAAAUGCGAUAAGUAGUGUGAAUUGCAGAAUUCAGUGAAUCAUCGAAUCUUUGAACGCACAUUGCGCCCUUUGGUAUUCCGAAGGGCAUGCCUGUUCGAGCGUCAUUAUCACCACUCAAGCCCCCGGGCUUGGUUUUGGACGGCCUGGUCGGUCAGACGACCCCUCCUAAAGACAAUGACGGCGGCCUCGUGGGACCCCCGGUACACUGAGCUUCUUCACUGAGCACGUAUCGGAUUAGGGGACCCGGGUCCCGGUCUACUCCCCCAAGGGGAAACUUUUUUCUAGGUUGACCUCGGAUCAGGUAGGAAUACCCGCUGAACUUAAGCAUAUCAAUAAGCGGAGGA
This 359-nucleotide unclassified non-coding RNA is filed under the name soil metagenome. Its description in RNAcentral is "partial contains 5.8S ribosomal RNA, internal transcribed spacer 2, and large subunit ribosomal RNA". The stretch from base 1 to 119 matches the Rfam family "5.8S ribosomal RNA", at positions 36 to 154 of the family's 154-position model. The record is from RNAcentral.